RNAcentral lists this ribosomal RNA (256 nucleotides) under uncultured bacterium. RNAcentral's name for it is "partial 16S ribosomal RNA". It matches the Rfam family "Bacterial small subunit ribosomal RNA", at positions 521 to 776 of the family's 1533-position model. The record is from RNAcentral.
UAAUACGAAGGGUGCAAGCGUUAAUCGGAAUUACUGGGCGUAAAGCGUGCGUAGGCGGCUUUUUAAGUCGGAUGUGAAAUCCCCGGGCUCAACCUGGGAAUGGCAUCCGAUACUGGGGAGCUAGAGUUUGGGAGAGGGUGGUGGAAUUCCCGGUGUAGCGGUGAAAUGCGUAGAGAUCGGGAGGAACAUCAGUGGCGAAGGCGGCCACCUGGCCUAAAACUGACGCUGAGGCACGAAAGCGUGGGGAGCAAACAGG